This 292-nucleotide ribosomal RNA is filed under the name uncultured bacterium. Its description in RNAcentral is "partial 16S ribosomal RNA". It matches the Rfam family "Bacterial small subunit ribosomal RNA", at positions 505 to 796 of the family's 1533-position model. The record is from RNAcentral.
GUGUCAGCAGCCGCGGUAAAACGUAGGUGGCAAGCGUUAUCCGGAUUUACUGGGCGUAAAGCGUGUGCAGACGGGUCGUCAAGUGGUGUAUGAAAUCGCUCGGCUCAACCGGGCGCGGGUAUGCCAGACUGGCGGUCUAGAGGGUGCGAGAGGGACGUGGAAUUCCGGGUGUAGUGGUGAAAUGCGUAGAGAUCCGGAGGAACCCCUGAGGCGAAGGCGGCGUCCUGGCGCACACCUGACGUUCAGACACGACAGCAUGGGGAGCGAACGGGAUUAGAAACCCCCGUAGUCC